This 255-nucleotide ribosomal RNA is filed under the name uncultured bacterium. RNAcentral's name for it is "partial 16S ribosomal RNA". It matches the Rfam family "Bacterial small subunit ribosomal RNA", at positions 524 to 776 of the family's 1533-position model. The record is from RNAcentral.
UACGGGGGGAGCAAGCGUUGGUUCGGAUUUACUGGGCGUAAAGGGCGCGUAGGCGGCCACCGCAAGUCGACUGUGAAAUCUCCGGGCUUAACCCGGAAAGGUCAGCCGAUACUGCGGGGCUAGAGUGCAGAAGGGGCAACUGGAAUUCUCGGUGUGGCGGUGAAAUGCGUAGAUAUCGAGAGGAACACCUGCGGCGAAGGCGGGUUGCUGGGCUGACACUGACGCUGAGGCGCGAAAGCUAGGGGAGCGAACGGG